ACGCGACCCCAGGUCAAGCGGGGCACCCGCUGAGUUUAAGCAUAUCA
This 47-nucleotide ribosomal RNA is filed under the name Heteropyxis natalensis. RNAcentral's name for it is "partial 28S ribosomal RNA". The record is from RNAcentral. Lineage: Eukaryota; Viridiplantae; Streptophyta; Magnoliopsida; Myrtales; Myrtaceae.